This 77-nucleotide transfer RNA is filed under the name Candidatus Nomurabacteria bacterium. RNAcentral describes it as "tRNA-Thr". It matches the Rfam family "tRNA". From Rfam's summary of the family: Transfer RNA (tRNA) molecules are approximately 80 nucleotides in length. Their secondary structure includes four short double-helical elements and three loops (D, anti-codon, and T loops). The record is from RNAcentral. Lineage: Bacteria; Candidatus Nomuraibacteriota.
GCCGAUUUAGCUCAGCCGGUUAGAGCGGCUGUUUUGUAAACAGCAGGUCCUCGGUUCGAGUCCGAGAAUCGGCUCCA